Molecule: ribosomal RNA, 253 nt
Filed under: uncultured bacterium
Lineage: Bacteria
Description: partial 16S ribosomal RNA
Rfam family: Bacterial small subunit ribosomal RNA
Source: RNAcentral
UACGGAGAGUGCAAACGUUGUUCGGAUUCACUGGGCGUAAAGGGCACGUAGGCGGCUCGGCAAAUCGGUCGUGGAAUCUCGACGCUUACCGUCGAAACGGCGGCCGAAAAUACCGGGCUCGAGGGCGUGAGGGGUCACUGGAACUCCUGGUGAAGCGGUGAAAUGCGUAGAUAUCAGGAGGAACGCCGGAGGCGAAAGCGGCUUCCUGGACCGACACUGACGCUGAGGCGCGAAAGCUAGGGGAGCAAACGGG